This 1125-nucleotide long non-coding RNA is filed under the name Phascolarctos cinereus (koala). Its description in RNAcentral is "lncRNA (ENSPCIG00000029548.2)". Lineage: Eukaryota; Metazoa; Chordata; Mammalia; Diprotodontia; Phascolarctidae. The record is from RNAcentral.
GCUUUUAAAGGAGUUAAUGCCAUUUGGUCCCUUAAGGAAGAGCAUUAUCCAUGUAACCAACUGUGGGAGUGGAGUAGUAAAAACCCCUAAAAAAACCGAUUGAAACUGGAGGAUCCAUCUUUCCCUCUCUCCUGAUUUGUUGACCAUGAUGAUAGAUGGGCUCUCCAGUGACUGAAGAUUUCUGUUUGUGUACUGAUUUGCCAACAUGUCUGAGGAAGAGCAGUCCCUACCACUUAAUGCAAACUCUUCCUCUUAUGGACUCUCAUUUGGUUCUCUAAGCCCUUCAAAAGAAAAGUACAUAGACCAAGAACCUAAAAAGUUGCUUCCUGAAAUCUUAGUGACAAAAGAAACAGAAGGACUCCCAAACGAAAAAACUCAGGAGUCAGAAUGUCUGAAGCAUGAUGAAAUCAUUCCUUUACAAUCUCCUCUCUCAGCCACUUCAACUUUCAAGGCCUUGCCUUCGUCCUCUUUCUCUUUCUCUCCAGUGAAAAAUACUGGUGUACAAUUGAAAAGUCCAGAACGAAAAACGUCAUCAUUCAUGUCAUUCAAGUCUGAAGAAGGAGACUUCAAAGAAAGAUUGAAAAGUGUCGUGAAAGUAAUAUCAGGGGUGUCAUUUCCCUCCACUUCUUUUUAUACUGAGGAUUCUUCCGGAUCUUCUAUUUAUACCCCAGUUUCAAUACCUGUUCCUGCUAAGCAACUUGAAUCCAGGCUAUUAGAGAUCGAAAAGUCUGUGUCUGUUCACCAUUCAACCCAGACCAAAUGGACGAUUGAUGAUGAAAGUCCUCGGAUAGAUGGCAUUGAAUCAGUGACCAUCAGUUAUGAAAAACUGCCAUCUGAAGGCAUCGAAAUCAGUCCGACACAAAAUCAGUUGCAGACAACAACUACUGAGAGUGUCCAGCCAUCCCCUUCUUUUCUUCAGAAAAAAGAGGAAAGCAACAGUCAAGAAACACCUAGAGAUAAACAGUCAAAACCCCAAGGCAGAAUCGUAAGUAUUAACAGUCAUAAGCAAGGUUUCUCUGCAUUCAUUCUACAGUGUUCCAAGGGCAAAGCCAAAAUGCUAAUGGAAAGUAAGCAGAAAUGGGAGGGGAGGGCAGUGAAAGGACAUCUGUCAUUCUUAAAUUUGAA